CCGCUGUGGGCGCAGGAAAUUUGAGGGGGGCUGCUCUUAGUACGAGAGGACCAGAGUGGACGAACCUCUGGUGUACCAGUUGUGCCGUCAGGUGCAUUGCUGGGUAGCUAUGUUCGGUUAGGAUAAACGCUGAAAGCAUAUAAGCGUGAAACCUUCCCCAAGACUAUAUUUCCCUUUCCCCCCGAUUUAUCGGGAGGACUAAAGGUUCCUUGUAGACUACGAGGUUGAUAGGUCAUAGGUGUAAGACCAGUAAUGGUUUUAGCCGAGUGAUACUAAUAAACCGUGAGUCUUGACCAA
This 297-nucleotide ribosomal RNA is filed under the name Bacteroidales bacterium. RNAcentral describes it as "partial 23S ribosomal RNA". It matches the Rfam family "Bacterial large subunit ribosomal RNA", at positions 2642 to 2925 of the family's 2925-position model. Lineage: Bacteria; Pseudomonadati; Bacteroidota; Bacteroidia; Bacteroidales. The record is from RNAcentral.